UUAGAGUUUGAUCAUGGCUCAGAUUGAACGCUGGCGGCAUGCCUUACACAUGCAAGUCGAACGGCAGCAUGAUCUAGCUUGCUAGAUUGAUGGCGAGUGGCGAACGGGUGAGUAAUACAUCGGAACGUGCCCUGUAGUGGGGGAUAACUAGUCGAAAGAUUAGCUAAUACCGCAUACGACCUGAGGGUGAAAGUGGGGGACCGCAAGGCCUCAUGCUAUAGGAGCGGCCGAUGUCUGAUUAGCUAGUUGGUGGGGUAAAGGCCCACCAAGGCGACGAUCAGUAGCUGGUCUGAGAGGACGAUCAGCCACACUGGGACUGAGACACGGCCCAGACUCCUGCGGGAGGCAGCAGUGGGGAAUUUUGGACAAUGGGGGCAACCCUGAUCCAGCAAUGCCGCGUGUGUGAAGAAGGCCUUCGGGUUGUAAAGCACUUUUGUCCGGAAAGAAAUCGCACUUACUAAUAUUAGGUGUGGAUGACGGUACCGGAAGAAUAAGGACCGGCUAACUACGUGCCAGCAGCCGCGGUAAUACGUAGGGUCCAAGCGUUAAUCGGAAUUACUGGGCGUAAAGCGUGCGCAGGCGGUUGUGCAAGACCGAUGUGAAAUCCCCGGGCUUAACCUGGGAAUUGCAUUGGUGACUGCACGGCUAGAGUGUGUCAGAGGGGGGUAGAAUUCCACGUGUAGCAGUGAAAUGCGUAGAGAUGUGGAGGAAUACCGAUGGCGAAGGCAGCCCCCUGGGAUAACACUGACGCUCAUGCACGAAAGCGUGGGGAGCAAACAGGAUUAGAUACCCUGGUAGUCCACGCCCUAAACGAUGUCAACUAGUUGUUGGGGAUUCAUUUCCUUAGUAACGUAGCUAACGCGUGAAGUUGACCGCCUGGGGAGUACGGUCGCAAGAUUAAAACUCAAAGGAAUUGACGGGGACCCGCACAAGCGGUGGAUGAUGUGGAUUAAUUCGAUGCAACGCGAAAAACCUUACCUACCCUUGACAUGCCACUAACGAAGCAGAGAUGCAUUAGGUGCUCGAAAGAGAAAGUGGACACAGGUGCUGCAUGGCUGUCGUCAGCUCGUGUCGUGAGAUGUUGGGUUAAGUCCCGCAACGAGCGCAACCCUUGUCUCUAGUUGCUACGAAAGGGCACUCUAGAGAGACUGCCGGUGACAAACCGGAGGAAGGUGGGGAUGACGUCAAGUCCUCAUGGCCCUUAUGGGUAGGGCUUCACACGUCAUACAAUGGUGCAUACAGAGGGUUGCCAAGCCGCGAGGUGGAGCUAAUCCCAGAAAAUGCAUCGUAGUCCGGAUCGUAGUCUGCAACUCGACUACGUGAAGCUGGAAUCGCUAGUAAUCGCGGAUCAGCAUGCGGCGGUGAA
Molecule: ribosomal RNA, 1366 nt
Filed under: unidentified marine bacterioplankton
Lineage: Bacteria
Description: bacterial SSU rRNA
Rfam family: Bacterial small subunit ribosomal RNA
Source: RNAcentral